UACGUAGGGUGCAGGCGUUAAUCGGAAUUACUGGGCGUAAAGAGCUCGUAGGCGGUUUGUCGCGUCUGCUGUGAAAACUCGGGGCUUAACUCCGGGCCUGCAGUGGGUACGGGCAGACUAGAGUGCGGUAGGGGAGACUGGAAUUCCUGGUGUAGCGGUGAAAUGCGCAGAUAUCAGGAGGAACACCGGUGGCGAAGGCGGGUCUCUGGGCCGUAACUGACGCUGAGGAGCGAAAGCGUGGGGAGCGAACAGG
RNAcentral lists this ribosomal RNA (253 nucleotides) under uncultured bacterium. RNAcentral describes it as "partial 16S ribosomal RNA". It matches the Rfam family "Bacterial small subunit ribosomal RNA", at positions 524 to 776 of the family's 1533-position model. The record is from RNAcentral.